GGAAGUGAAGCAGCUCAACAACCUCGAUACCCUGACGGCCAUGGCGAUCACAGACGAGCAAAAAGCCAAAUUCACCGGCGAAAUGAAAGAAGCGCUGGAAUAUUUGCUUCCGAAAAAGAGGAACGGGGCAAUUGAAACUGCUGUGAUGUCGCUGACAACGCUGCUUCUCCUGGUCUCGCUGAACCUCCUGCUGUAGAUGACGAUUCACGAGAAGCUAUCUCAACCCCCCUUUCCGUCACCAGCCAUCAUUGUCAGCGUUUACAUGUCAUCGGCACCUGACUCCACUGCGGAAACUUAUCAUCACGAACACUAGAUUAUUCUCUUCUCUUAUCCUAACAACCGCUUGGAUUCCCACUUACCCAGAUCACAUUAUCUCUGUCACCGUAAGAUGAGUCGGGUGAUCCAGCAGCAGCAGAAAUCAUAGAAGCAUGGCAUCAAGAGUCAUCCGAACAAUGCCAGUUUGUGGAGAAUGUUCAAUCUGUGCGACACAGUGUGCUGGAGAAAACAACUGAUGCCAACAAAAGUGAUUAAAUUUGUCAAGGUUUCCAAACCAACAGUCGAAAUUGCCGACAUCAUGAGUUUGGAAUACCAAACGACAACAUUGACAUACAAUAUAUCCAAAGUAGCAAUGGCCAAGAAUAGUGGAGGGAACAAUUCAUCCACUUGGCUUCACCAUUUCACCGUCCACAUUCUCAGGCGGAACAAUCAACACACCUGAUUGUGCCUUAAUUUUUUUUCAGUGCGGAAAACAAAAUAGAGGAUUCUCUUUGUGACUGCACGUCUCUUUUUUGUGGCUGAGUGUGCCUCUAUGUGUGUAUGUAGUUAAUAUCCUCGUAUGGCUUGAUUAUCUAUAGCUCAUCAGUAUUUUAGAUUACGAUGUUAAUUUGAUUAAGUUUAGAAGUAAAAGCUGCAAAGGAAAACACCAAAGAAUAGUAUUUAUUAAAGUAAAAAUAUAAACUGACUUUGUCUGUCAUCCAGUGAAAUCUAUCUUCUAAUUCCACGUGCUUAGGCCUUAUUCUUCAUGGAUACAUCCGCACUUCCUGUUGAAAGCAUGCUCUUGUACCCGCCUCUCUAAAAACAAAAGAUUAUUACAAAAUUUUCAGCUACGCAAUGUUCCUGUGUUCUCGAACGCAUUCAAAUUAUAAUUUUCAUACUUCCAUUAUCUUCUAGUUGUUUUUAUUAUUUCUUGCGUCCUUAUGAUAGCCUAAUUCAAAGACAUUUGCAGAAUCUUACCGUCGUUACUGAUUUACAAAAAAUUCACUUAUUCACCCUCUUUUUUCCUGCUUCCAAGCUCGUCCUCGUACUAAUUCUUCUCAAUGUCGCACUUUUGCCUGUGAGUUAAUCCCAGAAUCCCUUGGUUUCCUGCCAUCUUCUGCUGAUCAUCAAACCUCUCCUCCUCUAGGAAAUAUAUGCCUAUCCACUCUGUUACCUACCUGUAGCAUUGCUUUUGAGAACAACAUUUUUUUUCAAUUGCUUUGAGUUUGUCUAGGAGAGAUUACAAUGCUCAAAUUAAUGAAUCUGCUACAGCGAAAUUAA
Long non-coding RNA from Penaeus monodon (black tiger shrimp), 1536 nucleotides. RefSeq lists it as uncharacterized. The transcript has 2 exons. Lineage: Eukaryota; Metazoa; Arthropoda; Malacostraca; Decapoda; Penaeidae. The record is from RefSeq and is a predicted model, not a curated record.